GGGGAUUUAGCUCAGUGAUAGAGCACUUGCCUAGCAAGCACAAGGCCCUGGGUUCGGUCCCCAGCUCUG
Non-coding RNA from Rattus norvegicus (Norway rat), 69 nucleotides. Lineage: Eukaryota; Metazoa; Chordata; Mammalia; Rodentia; Muridae. The record is from Rfam.